AUGUUUGCGGAUGCAGUAUCUUCAAGAUUCACAUAAAGUCAUGAGGGCCUCCUAAGAGUAUAACUCUCUACGGAGCUCUCAAAUAUGAGAAUCUUGAUGAUGCUGCAUCGGCAAUAAA
RNAcentral lists this microRNA precursor (118 nucleotides) under Macleaya cordata. Its description in RNAcentral is "mir-172 microRNA precursor family". It matches the Rfam family "mir-172 microRNA precursor family". Rfam says of the family: mir-172 has been experimentally verified in Arabidopsis thaliana. This family is thought to target mRNAs coding for APETALA2-like transcription factors. Lineage: Eukaryota; Viridiplantae; Streptophyta; Magnoliopsida; Ranunculales; Papaveraceae. The record is from Rfam by way of RNAcentral.